Mauremys reevesii (Reeves's turtle) is the source of this 357-nucleotide long non-coding RNA. RefSeq lists it as uncharacterized. Lineage: Eukaryota; Metazoa; Chordata; Testudines; Geoemydidae. The record is from RefSeq and is a predicted model, not a curated record. The transcript has 3 exons.
CUGGAGCCGGCUGCCCCGCCACUCCCCCCGCUGCAGCCAAUGGAAAGCGCGGGGCCGAGCUGCGGCUUCCUCCUGCUGCUGAGAACUGAGCCGCCCUGCCGGGCUACGGCAUCGGCCGGGGCGGGGUUAGACUGAGAGCCUGGCCUAAACUCCCCUUACCUACCACUGCAGUCACAAAUCAACUGGAGGCAGCAGCAGAGUGGAAGCCAGACUUAAAACAUCAGCUAAGACCACAAGUGAGGCUGGUAAUAAAUUAGGACUAAGGAAGAACAAAGGAGAAUUCACAGCAACUCAUCUAUAUACAGUUCUGCUGUUACACUGCAUUCUUGGAUCCCAGAGGUUUAUUCUGAAUCAUCC